This 440-nucleotide ribosomal RNA is filed under the name uncultured bacterium. RNAcentral's name for it is "partial 16S ribosomal RNA". It matches the Rfam family "Bacterial small subunit ribosomal RNA", at positions 338 to 795 of the family's 1533-position model. The record is from RNAcentral.
CCUACGGGCGGCAGCAGUGGGGGAUAUUGCACAAUGGGGGAAACCCUGAUGCAGCGACGCCGCGUGGGUGAAGAAGCGCCUCGGCGCGUAAAGCUCUGUCAGCAGGGAAGAAAAUGACGGUACCUGAAGAAGAAGCCCCGGCUAACUACGUGCCAGCAGCCGCGGUAAUACGUAGGGGGCAAGCGUUAUCCGGAUGUACUGGGGGUAAAGGGGGCGCAGACGGCGAUGCAAGCCAGGAGUGAAAGCCCGGGGCCCAACCCCGGGACGGCUCUUGGAACUGCGUGGCUAGAGUGCAGGAGGGGCAGGCGGAAUUCCUGGUGUAGCGGUGAAAUGCGUAGAUAUCAGGAGGAACACCGGUGGCGAAGGCGGCCUGCUGGACUGCAACUGACGUUGAGGCCCGAAAGCGUGGGGAGCAAACAGGAUUAGAUACCCCUGUAGUC